GAUGAAGAACGGAGCGAAAUGCGAUAAGUAAUGUGAAUUGCAGAAUUCAGUGAAUCAUCGAAUCUUUGAACGCACAUUGCGCCCAUUAGUAUUCUGGCGGGCAUGCCUGUUCGAGCGUCAUUUCAACCCUCAGGCCCCCAGUACCUGGCGUUGGGGAUCGGCGUGGGCGGCGACGGCUCUCCGGAGCCCGAGCCAAUGCCUGCCGGCCCCGAAAUUCAGUGGCGGUCUCGCUGUAGUCCCCCUCUGUGUAGUAGCACAACUCGCAUUGGAGCUCGGCGGUGGCCAUGCCGUAAAACACCCCACUUCUGAAAGUUGACCUCGGAUCAGGUAGGAAUACCCGCUGAACUUAAGCAUAUCAAUAAGCGGAGGA
This 370-nucleotide unclassified non-coding RNA is filed under the name soil metagenome. RNAcentral describes it as "partial contains 5.8S ribosomal RNA, internal transcribed spacer 2, and large subunit ribosomal RNA". The stretch from base 1 to 120 matches the Rfam family "5.8S ribosomal RNA", at positions 35 to 154 of the family's 154-position model. The record is from RNAcentral.